Molecule: ribosomal RNA, 279 nt
Filed under: uncultured bacterium
Lineage: Bacteria
Description: partial 16S ribosomal RNA
Rfam family: Bacterial small subunit ribosomal RNA
Source: RNAcentral
UGCCAGCCGCCGCGGUAAUACGAAGGGUGCUAGCGUUGUUCGGAAUUACUGGGCGUAAAGAGCACGUAGGUGGUUUGGUAAGUCGGAUGUGAAAGCCCUGGGCUCAACCUGGGAAUUGCAUCCGAUACUGCUUAGCUAGAGUAUGAGAGAGGGUAGUGGAAUUCCGGGUGUAGCGGUGAAAUGCGUAGAUAUCCGGAGGAACAUCAGUGGCGAAGGCGGUUCCCUGGACCACAACUGACGCUGAGGCGCGAAAGCGUGGGGAGCAAACAGGAUUAGAUA